Molecule: long non-coding RNA, 1047 nt
Organism: Gallus gallus (chicken)
Lineage: Eukaryota; Metazoa; Chordata; Aves; Galliformes; Phasianidae
Source: Ensembl
GAAAAGCUCAGUUCUAUCCACAAGCUAAUUUCUUGAAAAGGUAAUGUGUGAAAUCUUUUAAAGACAAAGAACAAAGAACAAAGACAAGGCUGUAUCACUAAGACUAAUUGUUAAAAUUACCUUUUGCUUCAAGAUGGAACACUUUGUUGGAUUUUGCACUGAUUUUACUUAAAAUGACUUACUCUAGCUAUUGUCAGAGCUAAUGAUUCUAAAGUAGUUUCAUCUACUGAUGUUUGCACAUACAAGGAAUUGGUUGUGUUUUCCAUGAGAAAAACAAAAUGACAAAAUACAAUUUAUCUCUUUGAAACAUUCAUCCUACAAGGCACCAAUAGAGCUGACAGUGCACAAACAAUUUUUAUGUGGUCAUAACAAUAAUUUAUUCACUUCUCUUGUGUGAGUGGGUAAAUUUGGUAGGGAUGUAGAUGGAGAAAACCUGGCUCAAGGAUGACUAAAUUCCAAAAGAAGAAAAUACCAAGCAACACUUUAAGCCUUUCAUGAAUUUAUCUUGGGCUUCAGAAGGAGUUAGCAACACAGAUAUGGCAAGCAUGAGUGUGCUUGUCUUCUCAGUUUUACAGUCCCCCAGUAGAAGCGUCUAAGGCAUAUGUGGUUUAUUUUGACCAAAGAAGGGCCCACCCAUUUGUGGAACGGGCUCUCAGCAGCCACAGAGCAGAGCAGGAGGAGCCUAUCCCAGCACAGGCGCCUCUGUGAGGACAUCAGCACUGGGCAGCUGGUUCUCUGCCCAAAGGACUGGAUGAUUAUCUUGCUAUCUCCUUCAGUACCUGUCUGAUUUGAUUCUCCUGUUUUGCCAAGCCAAGUAAGUAACUAAUCUCUCUGUCUGGAGGAAAGCAUCUGUUUCAGCAGUCAGCAAACAUACCCAUGCAGUGACUCCUGCCUUCCAGCUUUCUCUCCAUACCUGCCAGUCACAUGGAACUUGCAUAUAUAAUAGUUUCUUGCAGUCUGAAAAAACAGUCUCUCUGGUUUGCUAUGUGCGGUUUUUGUUUUGUUUUGCUUUGUUUGUUUGUUUUAAAUAUAUAUAUAUAUAUAUAU